Molecule: long non-coding RNA, 5360 nt
Organism: Myiozetetes cayanensis
Lineage: Eukaryota; Metazoa; Chordata; Aves; Passeriformes; Tyrannidae
Exons: 4
Source: RefSeq, a predicted model, not a curated record
CGCGGAGAAGCGGGAGCGCGGCCGAGGGUGGGGAGGAGGAGGAGAAACGAUGGAGAUCUGUGGGUGGAGUGGGGAAAGAGGCGAAAUAGAGAAAAGAGAGCGAGAGAUACUCCACUCUCUGCUACUCCAGCAGCAGCUCCAGCUUCAUCUGAUCCGCCGCCAUCAGCGCUACUUUUGUAACAGAUCCUACUCUGCGUGCGCGUGUGAAAAUGAAAGAACAGAUCCAGUAUUUAUGUCGGGUUUACAUCCUUUGUUUUAAGAGUCGCAUCAUCUUGAGUGUAUUAACUCACAACAAUUUCUAUAACACAGAGGAGUGUUCAUCUCUAUUUUAUAAAGAUGGCAAAAGGGUCAAAGCUGAGAUCCACAAAUGAAGAAUUGAGUGUUCGCAUUGCCCGGGCUCAAAGCCAGCACCAUAUUUCAGUUGCAAUCUGUAAAGCAUGCAGUCACUCAUCUACAUUGUUUCUGGAUUGGAGCUGGCACUUGGGAGCUGGUGGGAAGAACUCCCAGUUGUCUUCACCUAUCCACCUACCGGGGUACAACAGGUAACUGCAGAGUCAUGGGCCUGUGACAUGGAAGUUCUGCUUCACACAGGAUGUAAAAAAAAAACUGGCCAGUCUUCGCGAGCGAAGAUCCGGGGAAGGUCUUUACACCUUCCAGCCUGCGCAUUGGAUUUUUUUUUUUAGGUGAGACACAGUGUGUGCGGAACUGAGCCCACCCUUUAAUCCUAAGGUUCAUCUGCCAGGGCCAAGCGAGCUUGGACAGUGGCAGCGAGGUCCUUAGGACGUAGGUGGAUUGCCUUUAAGGGCUAACGAGCUCCACCUGCCCGGGGAGUGUCCCUGACCGGGAAUCGAACCCGGGCCUCGGCGCCGCGCCCUUACCACUAGACCACCAGGGGCUCAAUUCUAAUAGAAAUUAUGAGAUCUAGGGUAAAAAGAAGAUGUUGGGGAGUGGAUUAAAGGUUUGGAGAAAUGCAUGGAGGAAAGAGGGGGGAAAUGUGAACUAGUUCAGGUUGCACAAGACCAGGACAAAUUUACUUCUUAGAGUAUAAUUUAGGCAUCUCCUUAUUCCUGGGCUCCCACACUAAGGGUAGCAUUAUCAGUGUCACAGAAUCACAGAAUAUCCUUAGCUGUAAGGGUCCCUCAAGGAUCAUCGAGUCAAACUCCUGGCCCUGCACAGGGCCCUCCCCAAGUAUCACACCAUGUGCUGAGUGUAUCGUUCAAACACUGCUUGAACUCUUGUCAGGCUUGGUGCUGUGACCACUUCCCUGAGGAGCCUGUUCCAGUACCUAACCACCCUCUGGGUGAAGAACCUUUUUCUAAUAUCCGUCCUAAACCUCCCCUGACAGAGCUUCAGGCCAUUCCCUUGGGUCCUGUCCCUGGUCACCACAGAGAAGAGAUCACUGACCAUCCUCUUUCCCUCUCACGGAAGUUGUAACUGCAAUGAGCUCUCCCCUCAGUCUCCUCUUCUCCAGGCUGAACAGACCAAGUGACCUCAUCUGCUCCUUACACAGCUUCCCCUCAAGGCCCUUCACUUAGUUGUGGCUCAAAAGACCUACAUCUCGCAGUAGGCAACACAGUGACGGAUUAACACUCUGCCAACACCCCUUCAGAAUAAAAGGGAAUGCCUUACCUGGCUCCUUCCUUACUUGAAGGAUCAAGCAUAUGCCUGUUUCAUCUCUUCUCAACAGGAAGUGUUCAUGUUCAGUUCCCAGCUGUGUUGCCCCCAGAGGCCUGUUCAGCAACCCAGGGACACUGAGCUUGGGAAACAAGUGUUAUCCCAGUGGAGAAUCCACCAGAGUGGGCAACCAACAUGUGUUGGUCUAGUGAACACUGUAAGCAAAUGCCUGUGGAGUGCACUGAAAUUCAUGGAAGAAAGAGAGAAAUUGUCUACAUGUGGCUCCAGCAUGGAGAAGAAAUACACAGUUACAGACAAGCUGGUUGAGGUGCGAAGAAAAAGCCAAGGCUGGAAAAUGGAGCUGAGCAAGGCAUGGCAUUCAUGGGAAGAUCUGUGACCUACGACUCACGAUCAGCCUGCAAACUUUACAGGAUUUACAAGGAAACUUAAACUGGAGCCCAGUUUUGAGAAAAAGUGGACUCAAGUAACAAGUGUUACUGCAAGUGUUACUGCAAAAUUAAGUGAGGCUGGAAGUCAGCUCUUUGCCUUUUUUUGAAUCUGAAAUUUAGGAAGCCAAUGCCAUCCUGAAGCAUGGGGAAGAAAAGAAAGCAGGACUUAUUCCAUGAGCAAUGUGUUAUUUACUAAUUACUCACCCUUUUGCUUCACCUAAUUAUUUAUGGCUUAAAAAUUCAUUAAUAUGACAGGUAUUUAAUAAAGAUGCAGAAUGUUUAGAAAUGGUGAUCUCAUCCUAAAACCAUAUAUGGAUAUGAGUAAUUGGGCUCAAAUGAGUUCCCACUAGCUUCAAUUAAAAAAAGUGUGAUUGACUUAAAACAUAGAACUAGCAGAAUAAAGUUUCUUGAUAUGUCUUCAUCCUCCCAUAAUGCAGGAAAAAAAAAGUACAAAUGUAGUUUCAUCAUGAAAUUUUAAAAAGCCAUUAAAACCUCCUAAACAAGCAAUUUCUUUACAUUUGAUGAUUAAACUAUUUCCUUGCAUAGUCACAUUAUUUUAAAUACAUAGCUUCUAUGUACAGCAUAUUACAGCAAUGUUGUCCUGCAGAUAUUCUUAUUGAGAUUCCUAAAUAUUUGUUACACCUGACAAGUCCUUUUUUUUAAGCACUUAAAUAUAGUCUUGAAUGACAAACAACGAAAGUAAAUCUUUCUUUAUUCCUACUUCACUUCAUUCUAAAUUUAUUGCCUGUCAUAUCUGACCGAGACCUUUCUGUGAAGGAGCACAGGAGCGACAGGUAUUGAUAUAAUGAGGCAUCUUACAGAAAGUUUGCUUUGCACCUACUUGGUGGACUUGGCAGGGUUAGCUUUAUGUUUGGACUCUAUGUUAAAGAUCCUUUCCAACCUAAGUGAUUCUAUGAUUCUACUGAAAUUAUUGGGAAACUUUCAAGUGACCAUGGUGGUCUGUAUUUCAGUAAUAAAAAUUCCUAUUGCAAAACUACAAAAUUUAAUUGGUAUCAAAGGCUUCCUCUCAGUUCAUUUUGUCAGUAAAAGGUAUUAAUUCAUGAUCAAGCCUCUCUCUUUUAUUUCAAUUUCUGGAUUUUUUUUUACAUUUUCAUAAAUGAUUUACACUGUUGCAAAUCUAUCAUAAGAGACAAGAGAGCAAGGCCUUCUGUCUCUUAACUACUUUAAAAAAACACUCAAAUAUGGUAGGUUAGAAUGAGAAUCAAAGUUUUAUAAUCUAGUUUUAUACUGUAUAUAAACUCACUCUUCAGUAAUCAACAUUGUCAGAAAAUUUUUGAAACCAGUGACAGUUUAAGACUUAACAUAUAGAGUGAUACAGUGAUUGCAGCACUUGUGUGAAUAGAUAGCACACAGUUACCAAGUGUCUUAAGUGUCUUUUGCCAGGGGGUUAUAGGCAAUAAACCCUGAUCAACAGCAUGCUGAGUACAUUUCACCUUUGUGACUGGGGUGACACGUUCUUUGCUAGGCAGAACCCACAGAUGUUCUUGGGUUCAGCCAAAAUGUGCUUGCUGAAAUAGUGUAAAAAAGUGUGACAAGGUCUGUAUGGAUGUCCAAAGAAGAGCAAUGAAGCUAGAGAAAACUCUGAAGAACAGAACCUGAGCAGCAGCAGCUGAGGGAGCUGGGAGUGUUCAGCCUGUAGAAAAGAAGGCUCAGGGAGACCCUAUCUCUACAACUACCUGAAAAGAGCUUGUAGGCAGAUGAAGGUUGAUCUCUUCUCAUGAGUAACAAACAAUAGGAUAAGGCAAAAUGUUCUCAAGUUGCACCAGCAAGGGUUUAGAUUGGAUAUUAGAAGAAAUUUCUUCCUGGAAGAGGUUGUCAAGCACUGAAACAGGCUGCCCACAGAAGUGGUGGAGUCACCAUACCUGAAGAUAUUUAAAAGAUAUGUAGAUGUGGCAGUUAGGAACAUUGUUUACUAGUGGACUUAACAAUGCUUGAAUGGUUGAACUGGAUGAUCUUACAGUUCUUUUCAAGCCUAAAUGAUUCUAUGGUUCUGUGGCUCUAUGAUAAUCAACACCAUAUACUAAAAUACCAUUUUGUUCCUGGCAUGUAGUAUCUUUCUUAUGUCUGUUUUAUAUAGGACAGAAGGGGGUAAUCUUACUGAUUAAUUCUCAUUCUGUUUGCUUGUGCAAGACUGACUGGAGAGUGCAGGCAGCCUGAUCUCAAUUUCUAAUUUCAGGAGAAAAAAAGCUUUUAUUGAAGUCUGCACCAGAUGGAAAUGCAGAACCCAGCCCAUUGCAAGUGAAAUGAAUUGUUUUACAUAUUUGAAUUUGAUAUAAUUUGUAUUGUAAAAACUUUGUGACCUACAUCCAGCAGCAAGACAGUCAACGCUACUUUGUUCUCACCCUUGCUUUUAUUUAUAUUUGAGUAAGCAUGCUGGAUCUCAUAGCAAAACUUUCACUAUUUGAUAUAGCAGUUUAUGUUUUUCUUGUUAUUGUCAGAUUUUAGGAAAACAUUCAUCCUAAUUCUAGUCAUGAAAGCAGAGCUGCAUGCAUUUUCACAGUGGAAGUUUUUUUGUUUGUUUGAGUUUUUUGACACUGCAGUUAAACCAACAAUAAUUUUAGGAUAGUUUAAUAUUGAAACUUGGAGUCCAGCAUAAUAAAUAUUCGCUCAGUGAAUACCAAGAAAGAUAUCUUAAAACAAACUGAUGGACAUCUUAAAUUCAUCCACUGUGGUGGUUUUGCUUGGCGUAGAGUUGAUUUUGCUUUCCUAAUGUGUGUGGCUUUUGCUUUACCUAUUGAUCUGUCUUUAUCUCAACCCAAGAGUUGUUUUCUCACUUUUGCUCUUAAGAUUCUCUCCCACAUCCAAGUGGUGGGGAGUGAGUGAGCGGCUGUGUGGGGCUGAGUUGCUAGGUGGGGUUAAAUCACAGCAGCCAUUUAAGGAGAAAGCAUAAUGGAAAAUUUAGUCAAUUAUCACUGGUCUUGGUACAUCUACACAAGAACACUGUAGCACUGUGUGGAGACGUUAGUUUGGUUUUGGAAGGCUCUGUGUCCAUUCUAGUAUAGUUAUUAUGCUUCUGAGUUUCAAAGGAAAAUGAAGUUUUUUGUUCAAGAAUCACUGUGUUGUAUUUCACAGUGUAAUGUAGAAGUGCUCAUUGUAAAUCUCAUAUUGAUGUUGUGACACGACUCACAGAAAACCAUAAAUGUCAGUAAUCUUGCUGGAAAAAACUCUCAAUUAUAAAUGUUAAACCAUGGUAUGUUCUGAACUUGUAAAGAACUAUAACUUCUUAGAGCAGUCUUAUACAAAUAACAUAUGUAUUUUCGUAAAAUUGUAAUAAAG